AACGGCCCACCAAGGCGACGAUCGGUAGCCAGCCUGAGAGGGUUAUCGGCCACAUUGGGACUGAGAUACGGCCCAGACUCCUACGGGAGGCAGCAGUAGGGAAUAUUGCACAAUGGGGGAAACCCACAUGCAGCAACGCCACGUGUGGGAAGAAGCAUUUCGGUGUGUAAACCACUGUCGUGAGGGAAUAAUACGCGUCUUCGGGCGCGCGGGAAUGUACCUCGAAAGGAAGCACCGGCUAACUUCGUGCCAGCAGCCGCGGUAAUACGAGGGGUGCAGCGUUGUUCGGAAUCACUGGGCGUAAAGGGAGCGUAGGCGGAUGUUCAAGCGGAUUGUACAAUACCGGGGCCCAACCCCGACCUGCAGUCCCAACUGGACAUCUUGGAUAGUUCAGGGGCAGGCGGAAUUCCUGGUGUAGCGGUGGAAUGCGUAGAGAUCAGGAAGAACACCGAUGGCGAAGGCAGCCUGCUGGGGACUAAUCGACGCUGAGGCUCGAAAGCGCGGGUAGCA
This 510-nucleotide ribosomal RNA is filed under the name uncultured Fibrobacter sp. RNAcentral's name for it is "bacterial SSU rRNA". It matches the Rfam family "Bacterial small subunit ribosomal RNA", at positions 259 to 770 of the family's 1533-position model. The record is from RNAcentral. Lineage: Bacteria; Pseudomonadati; Fibrobacterota; Fibrobacteria; Fibrobacterales; Fibrobacteraceae.